RNAcentral lists this ribosomal RNA (468 nucleotides) under uncultured bacterium. RNAcentral describes it as "partial 16S ribosomal RNA". It matches the Rfam family "Bacterial small subunit ribosomal RNA", at positions 28 to 507 of the family's 1533-position model. The record is from RNAcentral.
GACGAACGCUGGCGGCGUGCUUAACACAUGCAAGUCGAACGGAAAGGCCCUGCUUUUGUUGGGUGCUCGAGUGGCGAAAGGGUGAGUAACACGUGAGUAACCUGCCCUUGACUUUGGGAUAACUUCAGGAAACUGGGGCUAAUACCGGAUAGGAGCUCCUGGUGCAUGGUGGGGGUUGGAAAGUUGGGGCGGUUGGGGUUGGACUCGCGGCUUAUCAGCUUGUUGUUGGGGUAGUGGCUUACCAAGGCUGUGACGGGUAGUCGGCCUGAGAGGUGGACCGGCGACACUGCGAAGGAGACUAGGCGAGGAAGCAUUCGGGAAGAAGGAGUGGUGAAUAGUGCACAAUGGGCGGAAGGCUGAUGGAGCAACGCCGCGUGCGGGAUUACGGCCUUCGGGUGGUAGACCGGUAGCGCCUGGGUUGAAGCGGGAGUGACGGUAAUGGGUGAAGAAGCACCGGCUAACUACGUG